UACGUAGGGGGCUAGCGUUGUCCGGAUUUAUUGGGCGUAAAGAGCGUGUAGGCGGCCAGGUAGGUCUGCUGUGAAAACUCGAGGCUCAACCUCGAGACGUCGGCGGAAACCAUCUGGCUAGAGUCCGGAAGAGGAGAGUGGAAUUCCUGGUGUAGCGGUGAAAUGCGCAGAUAUCAGGAAGAACACCCGUGGCGAAGGCGGCUCUCUGGGCCGUAACUGACGCUGAGGAGCGAAAGCAUGGGGAGCGAACAGG
RNAcentral lists this ribosomal RNA (253 nucleotides) under uncultured bacterium. RNAcentral describes it as "partial 16S ribosomal RNA". It matches the Rfam family "Bacterial small subunit ribosomal RNA", at positions 524 to 776 of the family's 1533-position model. The record is from RNAcentral.